ACUCUGUCGUUUUAUUUCAUUUGAGAUGAGCUGUGAGACACAGAAGGGAUUGUACCGGUUGUACAAGAUCGCAGUUUUGUUUGGUCGGAGUAGAGGCAGAUGGUGUUGCUUUAGGAAGCGGCUGUUCUAGUCUCCUAGAGGCGUGAAGGUUCAGAGAUGGUGCUCAGAUUAAUCUAGAAAAUAGGUAAAUGGUCACAGAGUUCGGUUGCUGGAGGACUGACUAGGAAGGGAACAUGUCAUGCUUAAAGAGGUUUUCAACCAUCAUUUUACAAAAUAUUAAAAUAGAAUUUAAGAGAAUUAAAUACAUGCUUAUUUGUCAUUUUCUUUAUAAAUGGGAGAAUUAUUUUGGAAUAAAUUUUUUACUAAUAUGAACAAAAUGUAAACACUGUAAAGAUCUCUCUCU
Pelobates cultripes (western spadefoot toad) is the source of this 403-nucleotide non-coding RNA. Lineage: Eukaryota; Metazoa; Chordata; Amphibia; Anura; Pelobatidae. The record is from the annotation of a GenBank genome assembly.